UUUUGUCUCUGAAACUCCAAAGUGAUCACAUUCUGGUCCCCAACAGCUGCCGCUGAACGCGGCGGAGACGGAGGGGAAGAAGAAGAAGGAGGUGUCGGUUCUGGCGGAGGAAAAGCGGAGGGAGAAGAAGGUGGGACGGGUUUCAAAGGAGGUGAUGGAGAAGGUGCCACAGGUCUUCUCAAAGGACCCUCAGUUUGAGAACUCCUUAUCGUCACAAUAUAAGGCUUGGGUGGUACAGACAAUCUACAACUGGUCGAAGAUGAGGCUGACGAGGAACAUGGAGGUGAAGCAGAAGAAGGGUUUGGGAUUUUCAGACAUGAAAUUGAGGUUGCCAUAGACAUUAGUAUUAGGUGGUUGUUUUUUCUUUGGUUUAUCUAAACUCUGGGGAUUUUUGUGUG
This 398-nucleotide long non-coding RNA is filed under the name Gossypium barbadense (sea-island cotton). Its description in RNAcentral is "long non-coding RNA (GBAR_LNC003995)". Lineage: Eukaryota; Viridiplantae; Streptophyta; Magnoliopsida; Malvales; Malvaceae. The record is from RNAcentral.